Molecule: long non-coding RNA, 399 nt
Organism: Mesocricetus auratus (golden hamster)
Lineage: Eukaryota; Metazoa; Chordata; Mammalia; Rodentia; Cricetidae
Exons: 3
Source: RefSeq, a predicted model, not a curated record
AACCACAGGGAGUCAAGAUGCUCUUGGGGUAAGAAGUCCGGAUCCUUUCUCUGGGAUAGCCUCAAAUGAAACCACCCUUGACCUGUACUUCCUUCACUGAGGGCAAAGCCUAGUAUGUAUGUGCUUCAUGUUUUCUUCCUGCGAACAUUACCUGCUGGCUUUAUAUGUGGGACCAGAGGUACUGUAACAGCUACGGAGCCCAGAGAGGGCAGAAGAAAGAGAGAAAAGCUGAAGGCUAUUGGCAUUGGCAAAUCUGCUUGUGGAAGUGUAAGACGUCCUUAUUUGUGACAUCACAGUGAUUAUUCCUGGUCACAUGAAUUAAUAUUAAAUAUAGCUGUGGAUUGCAAUCAUAUCAAUUUAAAGCUUUCGGGCGCUCUUUCCUCUUGUGUGGAAAUGUCG